Paramecium tetraurelia is the source of this 73-nucleotide transfer RNA. It matches the Rfam family "tRNA". From Rfam's summary of the family: Transfer RNA (tRNA) molecules are approximately 80 nucleotides in length. Their secondary structure includes four short double-helical elements and three loops (D, anti-codon, and T loops). Further hydrogen bonds mediate the characteristic L-shaped molecular structure. tRNAs have two regions of fundamental functional importance: the anti-codon, which is responsible for specific mRNA codon recognition, and the 3' end, to which the tRNAs corresponding amino acid is attached (by aminoacyl-tRNA synthetases). tRNAs cope with the degeneracy of the genetic code in two manners: having more than one tRNA (with a specific anti-codon) for a particular amino acid; and 'wobble' base-pairing, i.e. permitting non-standard base-pairing at the 3rd anti-codon position. The record is from Rfam. Lineage: Eukaryota; Ciliophora; Oligohymenophorea; Peniculida; Parameciidae.
GCCCAUGUGGCGCAAUUGGUAGCGCGACAGCCUUCUAAGCUGUAGGCUGCAGGUUCAAUCCCUGCCAUGGGUG